CAAUAGCGUAUAUUAAAGUUGUUGCGGUAAAAAAGCUCGUAGUUGGACUUCUGUUGAGAGAUACCGGUCCAUGCAACGAAUGCGUAUUUGGUAAGUCUCGGCAUCCUCUCGAAAAACUUCUUUGCGCUUGAUUGCGUGAAAAGAGUUUCGGGACUUUUACUUUGAGGAAAUUAGAGUGUUCACGGCAGGCCAUCGCCAGGAUACAUUAGCAUGGAAUAAUACUAUAGGAUCUUGAUCCUAUUUUGUUGGUUUCUAGGAUUAAGAUAAUGAUUAAUAGGGACAAUUGGGGGCAUUCGUAUCAACACGUCAGAGGUGAAAUUCUUGGAUUGUGUUGCGACGAACUACUGCGAAAGCAUUUGCCAAGGAUGUUUUCAUUGA
RNAcentral lists this ribosomal RNA (378 nucleotides) under uncultured eukaryote. RNAcentral's name for it is "partial 18S ribosomal RNA". It matches the Rfam family "Eukaryotic small subunit ribosomal RNA", at positions 592 to 976 of the family's 1831-position model. The record is from RNAcentral.